GGUCCGGUGGUCUAGUGGUAUGAUUCUCGCUUAGGGUGCGAGAGGUCCCGGGUUCAAUCCCCGGCCAGACCC
RNAcentral lists this transfer RNA (72 nucleotides) under Fusarium oxysporum f. sp. melonis 26406. RNAcentral describes it as "tRNA-Pro (AGG) (tRNA-Pro-AGG-2-1)". It matches the Rfam family "tRNA". From Rfam's summary of the family: Transfer RNA (tRNA) molecules are approximately 80 nucleotides in length. Their secondary structure includes four short double-helical elements and three loops (D, anti-codon, and T loops). Further hydrogen bonds mediate the characteristic L-shaped molecular structure. tRNAs have two regions of fundamental functional importance: the anti-codon, which is responsible for specific mRNA codon recognition, and the 3' end, to which the tRNAs corresponding amino acid is attached (by aminoacyl-tRNA synthetases). tRNAs cope with the degeneracy of the genetic code in two manners: having more than one tRNA (with a specific anti-codon) for a particular amino acid; and 'wobble' base-pairing, i.e. permitting non-standard base-pairing at the 3rd anti-codon position. The record is from RNAcentral. Lineage: Eukaryota; Fungi; Ascomycota; Sordariomycetes; Hypocreales; Nectriaceae.